GACGAACGCUGGCGGCGUGCUUAACACAUGCAAGUCGAACGGAAAGGCCCUGCUUUUGUGGGGUGCUCGAGUGCCGAACGGGUGAGUAACACGUGUGUAACCUGCCCUUGACUUUGGGAUAACUUCAGGAAACUGGGGCUAAUACCGGAUAGGAUCUCCUGCUGCAUGGUGGGGGUUGGAAAGUUUCGGCUGUUGGGGAUGGACUCGCGGCUUAUCAGCUUGUUGGUGGGGUAGUGGCUUACCAAGGCUUUGAAGGGUCGCCGGCCUGAGAGGGUGACCGGCCACAAUGGGACUGAGAGACGGCCGAGAGUCCUACGGGGGGCAGCAGGGGGGAAUAUUGCACAAUGGGCGGGAGCGUGAUGAAGCGACGCCGCGUGUGGAAUGACGUCCUUCGGGUUGAAAAACGCUUGAGCCUGUGACGAAGCGUGAGUGACGGUAAUGGGUAAAGAAGCACCGGCUAACUACGUG
RNAcentral lists this ribosomal RNA (468 nucleotides) under uncultured bacterium. RNAcentral's name for it is "partial 16S ribosomal RNA". It matches the Rfam family "Bacterial small subunit ribosomal RNA", at positions 28 to 507 of the family's 1533-position model. The record is from RNAcentral.